GACGAACGCUGGCGGCGUGCUUAACACAUGCAAGUCGUGCGGAAAGGCCCCUUCGGGGGUACUCGAGCGGCGAACGGGUGAGUAACACGUGAGUAACCUGCCCCUAGCUCUGGGAUAAGCCUGGGAAACUGGGUCUAAUACCGGAUAUGACUUCUGCCCGCAUGGGUGGGGGUGGAAAGGUCUUUGACCGGCUAGGGAUGGGCUCGCGGCCUAUCAGCUUGUUGGUGGGGUAAUGGCCUACCAAGGCUGUGACGGGUAGCCGGCCUGAGAGGGCGACCGGCCACACUGGGACUGAGACACGGCCCAGACUCCUACGGGAGGCGGCAGUGGGGAAUCUUGCGCAAUGGGCGAAAGCCUGACGCAGCAACGCCGCGUGAGGGAUGACGGCCUUCGGGUUGUAAACCUCUUUCAGCGGGGACGAAGCGAGAGUGACGGUACCCGCAGAAGAAGCGCCGGCCAACUAC
RNAcentral lists this ribosomal RNA (464 nucleotides) under uncultured Actinomycetes bacterium. RNAcentral's name for it is "bacterial SSU rRNA". It matches the Rfam family "Bacterial small subunit ribosomal RNA", at positions 28 to 504 of the family's 1533-position model. The record is from RNAcentral. Lineage: Bacteria; Bacillati; Actinomycetota; Actinomycetes.